RNAcentral lists this ribosomal RNA (539 nucleotides) under uncultured Frankia sp. RNAcentral's name for it is "bacterial SSU rRNA". The stretch from base 1 to 461 matches the Rfam family "Bacterial small subunit ribosomal RNA", at positions 1075 to 1533 of the family's 1533-position model. Lineage: Bacteria; Bacillati; Actinomycetota; Actinomycetes; Frankiales; Frankiaceae. The record is from RNAcentral.
UUGGGUUAAGUCCCGCACCGAGCGCAACCCUUAUCCUAUGUUGCCAGCGCGUCAUGGCGGGGACUCAUAGGAGACUGCCGGGGUCAACUCGGAGGAAGGUGGGGAUGACGUCAAGUCAUCAUGCCCCUUACGUCCUGGGCUGCACACAUGCUACAAUGGCCGGUACAAAGGGCUGCGAUACCGCAAGGUGGAGCGAAUCCCAAAAAGCCGGUCUCAGUUCGGAUCGGGGUCUGCAACUCGACCCCGUGAAGUCGGAGUCGCUAGUAAUCGCAGAUCAGCAAUGCUGCGGUGAAUACGUUCCCGGGCCUUGUACACACCGCCCGUCACGUCACGAAAGUCGGUAACACCCGAAGCCGGUGGCCCAACCCUUGUGGGGGGAGCCGUCGAAGGUGGGACCGGCGAUUGGGACGAAGUCGUAACAAGGUAGCCGUACCGGAAGGUGCGGCUGGAUCACCUCCUUUCUAAGGAGCUUUCUGACUGGGGCCUUCUGUAGUGGGGGGUUUCUGGUGCGGAGCGAAGACCGGCCGGAUGGUUGGUCU